CUACAUAAACACAGAAAUAAUCAUGAGGAACGGAACACAAAAUAAAGACGUGGAAAUGUGAAGCGUCAUGCUGCCGCAGCACUAAAUGAUCAUAAAGAGAGUGGAGCAGAGAGAGGUAGACUUGGAAAAAGAUCUAUGUAUGUAUACAUAUGCAUGUGAGCGCACAUGUGUGUGUGAAAGAGAGCUAUAUGUAAGUGUCCGGCAUGAAAAGACAUGAUCGACUUGUAGCUCAACGCAUUUUGAUAAAGGAUUAUACACGGAUCUCAGUCAAAUGCACAUGAAUAAAUUAACUCCACUGUAGACGGAGGGUAGGUAGAAAGAAGCGAGGUGUACCGAUUGCUUAUCGCAGCCUUGACCAGUGGGUGCUUCAGUGUGAUAACACAAUUCCGCAAAAAAAUAAUAGCUGUAAUUAUUGGGCUAUUGGGAAUAUGGGCGCGCACUUGGCGAUUGAACAUGAAACAAAUACAUGGCCACACCUUUGA
Molecule: small RNA, 482 nt
Filed under: Drosophila mojavensis
Lineage: Eukaryota; Metazoa; Arthropoda; Insecta; Diptera; Drosophilidae
Description: GI26992
Source: RNAcentral